GCCUUCGCCAGUGUGGGAGCCUCGUCUCACUGGAGAGUCCGUUCAGGCUCUGCCACUAUUUCCCAUUGGCCAAACGCUACUGGAAGUGGAAGGCUAAGAAGCCCGCUGGUGCAAUCCAUACAGGUCAGCCUCUGGGGCCAGAGUGGGAUGAAAAAAGGCUCAUGAUGGAGCCCGAGUUAUUUGGCAGGAGGUGAUUUCCACAGUCUGUGAACACCGAAGAUGAGACUGGCUUGGGGCCACAUGCCAAACUGCACAGCCAGUAAGACCUGCUUCCAUCGACCCACAGCAGCUCUGACUUUUUUUUUUUUUUUUUUUUUUUUUUUUUUUUUUUAUACUUUAAGUUUACCUGACUUUUUUUUUUUAACAAUAGAGAAGAAACUACCACAGGGAAGAGAGAGAACAAUGGCAUUUUGACAAAUGGAACAAAGAUAGAGUGUGACUGACAAUUCAGGUCAGAAGGAAAAUUAAAGCACAGGAAGACUGAUGUUGGUCGGCCUCCUUGCCAAGAAGCAAAAACUCGGGGGAGGCAUCCAGCCACAUGCGAACUGGCUCAACACUGGCCAUUUUGUUUGAGCAAUUUUGUUGGAUGUUUUCUACAAAAGAACACUUUUUCUCGGACUUCAAACAUUCUUUUAUGCAGGAUUGACACCACACACUGCCAUCAUCCCCUGGAGUAGUAUCCUUGAGACCUGAGGAGGGGAAAACUGGAGGGAGAUUGUGGGACUCCACUGAGAAAUGUGGUCCUUUGUCUCCCUGGAGAUCUUUGAGGAUGGUUCAGAUAAAGUUGCUGCCAGUGGAAGCAGCUAGGCUCAGAAACCUCCAGUUGCCCUUUCUAGACUUGUAAUCCUCUGAAAAAUGGAAAUUAGGAAGCGUUCAUUUAUGACCUUGAAAAAAAUCGUUUACAAAAGUAUAUUAUAUCACUAAAAUGAGCUGGAAAAAGGGUUUAUGUGAAAGUUCAUGUGAGAAACACAGCUAUUAGCACGCAUGCCAUUCCCCACCUUGACCUCAGCAGGAAUGUGUAAAUUGUAACAUAUGGAAUGUAAGCCCUGUCGAGAUGUUUCAUAAAUCUGCCUGGCAAUGAGCAUCACAAGGCCCUGCAUGAGAACAGGCCCCAGAAAUGGAGAGACAAAUAAAGAAACAUCAGAAAUAUUAAAACCAGGACCAAAAGGAGGCCCAGAGAUGGGGUUUCACCGUGUUAGCCAGGAUAGUCUCAAUCUCCUGACCUCAUGAUCCGCCUGCCUUGGCCUCCCAAAGUGCUGGGAUUACAGGUGUGAGCCACCAUGCCCGGCCAAAUUUUCAAAUAAAUAA
RNAcentral lists this antisense RNA (1308 nucleotides) under Pan troglodytes (chimpanzee). The stretch from base 1 to 46 matches the Rfam family "WT1 antisense RNA conserved region 1", at positions 64 to 109 of the family's 109-position model. Lineage: Eukaryota; Metazoa; Chordata; Mammalia; Primates; Hominidae. The record is from RNAcentral.